This 507-nucleotide ribosomal RNA is filed under the name uncultured bacterium. RNAcentral's name for it is "partial 16S ribosomal RNA". It matches the Rfam family "Bacterial small subunit ribosomal RNA", at positions 28 to 523 of the family's 1533-position model. The record is from RNAcentral.
GACGAACGCUGGCGGCGUGCCUAACACAUGCAAGUUGUGCGACGAACCGGGCUUGCCCGGGGCAAGGCAGCGAACGGGUGAGUAACACGUGAGUAACCUACCCCGAUGACCGGGACAACCCGAGGAAACUCGGGCUAAUACCGGACGGGGUUGUCACACAUAAGUUGGACCAUCAAAGGAAGCUUCGGCCUCCGCAUCGGUUUGGGCUCGCGGCCCAUUAGCUAGUUGGUGAGGUAAAGGCUCACCAAGGCUCCGAUGGGUAGCUGGUCUGAGAGGACGAUCAGCCACACUGGGACUGAGACACGGCCCAGACUCCUACGGGAGGCAGCAGUGGGGAAUCUUGCGCAAUGCGCGAAAGCGUGACGCAGCAACGCCGCGUGAGGGAAGACGGCCUUCGGGUUGUAAACCUCUUUCAGGAGGGACGAAGGUUCGCCGGCGAAUAGCCUGGCGGAUUGACGGUACCUCCACAAGAAGCCCCGGCUAACUACGUGCCAGCCGCCGCAGUAA